CCUACGGGUGGCUGCAGUGAGGAAUAUUGGUCAAUGUGCUUAAGCCUGAACCCGCCCAAUCGCGUGAGGGAAGACUGCCCUAUUUGUUGUAAACCUCUUUUGUCAGGUGGCAACGCCGGCUACGUGUAGCCGGACUGAGAGUACCUGAAGAAAAAGCAUCGGCUAACUCCGUGCCAGCAGCCGCGGUAAUACGGAGUAUGCGAGCGUUAUCCGUAUUUAGUGGGUUUAAAGGGUGCGUAGGCGGAAUGCCAAGUCAGCGGUAAAAGCGCGAGGCUCACACUCGCUCCGACGUUGAAACUGGCGGUAGGGAGUGGGCGAGAAGUAUGCGGAAGGCGUGGUGUA
RNAcentral lists this ribosomal RNA (342 nucleotides) under uncultured bacterium. RNAcentral describes it as "partial 16S ribosomal RNA". It matches the Rfam family "Bacterial small subunit ribosomal RNA", at positions 338 to 677 of the family's 1533-position model. The record is from RNAcentral.